CAAGACCUGCGCUUUUGGAGCGGCCGAUGCCUGAUUAGCUUGUUGGUAAGGUAAAAGCUUACCAAGGCUUCGAUCAGUAGCUGGUCUGAGAGGACGACCAGCCACACUGGGACUGAGACACGGCCCAGACUCCUACGGGAGGCAGCAGUGGGGAAUUUUGGACAAUGGGGGCAACCCUGAUCCAGCCAUGCCGCGUGAGUGAAGAAGGCCUUCGGGUUGUAAAGCUCUUUCAGCCGGAACGAAACGGUUACGGAUAACACCCGUGACUACUGACGGUAUCGACAGAAGAAGCACCGGCUAACUACGUGCCAGCAGCCGCGGUAAUACGUAGGGUGCAAGCGUUAAUCGGAAUUACUGGGCGUAAAGGGUGCGCAGGCGGCUCUGUAAGUCAGAUGCGAAAUCCCCGGGCUUAACCUGGGAAUU
This 423-nucleotide ribosomal RNA is filed under the name uncultured bacterium. Its description in RNAcentral is "bacterial SSU rRNA". It matches the Rfam family "Bacterial small subunit ribosomal RNA", at positions 207 to 622 of the family's 1533-position model. The record is from RNAcentral.